AGUUCGAUCAUGGCUCAGAUUGAACGCUGGCGGGAUGUUUACACAUGCAAGUCGAACGGCAGCACGGACUUCGGUCUGGUGGCGAGUGGCGAACGGUGAGUAAUGUAUCGGAACGUGCCUAGUAGCGGGGAUAACUACGCGAAAGCGUAGCUAAUACUGCAUAUUGCCUUCGGGGGAAAGCGGGGACCCGCCUCGCACUAUUAGAGCGGUCGAUAUCGGAUUAGCUAGUUGGUGGGGUAACGGCUCUCACCAAGGCGAUUGAUCCGUAGCUGGUCGGAGAGGACGACCAGCCACACUGGACUGAGACACGGCCCAGACUCCCAUUGGAGGCAGUGGGGAAUUUUGGACAAUGGGGAAACCCUGAUCCAGCCAUCCCGCGUGUGCGAUGAAGGCCUUCGUCAGGAAGCACUUUUUGGCAGGAAGAAACGGCACGGGAUAAUACCCCGUGCAACUGACGGUACCCGCAGAAUAAGCACCGGCUAACUACGCCAGCAGCUGCGGUAAUACGUAGGGUGCAAGCGUUAAUCGGAAUUACUGGGCGUAAAGCGUGCGCAGGCGGUUCGGAAAGAAAGAUGUGAAAUCCCAGAGCUUAACUUUGGAACUGCAUUUUUAACUACCGAGCUAGAGUGUGUCAGAGGGAGGUGGAAUUCGCGUGUAGCAGGAAAUGCGUAGAUAUGCGGAGGAACACCGAUGGCGAAGGCAGCCUCCUGGGAUAACACUGACGCUCAUGCACGAAAGCGUGUAUAAAACAGGAUUAGAUACCCUGGUAGUCCACGCUCCCCAAACGAUGUCAACUAGCUGCUGGGGCCUUCGGGCCUUGGUAGCGCAGCAGCUAACGCGUGAAGUUGACCGCCUGGGGAGUACGGUCGCAAGAUUAAAACUCAAAGGAAUUGACGGGGACUCGCACAAGCGGUGGAUGAUGUGAUUCAAUUCGAUGCAACGCGAAAAACCUUACCUACCUUUUGACAUGUCUGGAAUCCCGAAGAGAUUUGGGAGUGCUGCAAGAGAACCGGAACACAGGUGCUGCAUGGCUGUCGUCAGCUCGUGUCGUGAGAUGUUGGGUUAAGUCCCGCAACGAGCUGCAACCCUUGUCAUUAGUUGCUACGAAAGGGCGCUCUAAUGAGGACUGCCGGUGACAAACCGAGGAAGGUGGGGAUGACGUCAAGUCCUCAUGGCUCCUUAUGGGUAGGGCUUCACACGUCAUACAAUGGUCGGGACAGAGGGUCGCCAACCCGCGAGGGGGAGCCAAUCCCAGAAACCCGAUCGUAGUCCGGAUCGUAGUCUGCAACUCGACUGCGUGAAGUGUCGGAAUCGCUAGUAAUCGUGGAUCAGCAUGUCGCGGUGAGGUUUAUGUUCCGGGUCUUGUACACACUGCCCGUCACACCAUGGGAGUGGGUUUUACCAGAAGUGGUUAGCCUAACCGUAAAGGAGGGCGAUUACCACGGUAGGAUUCAUGACUGGGGUGAAGUCGUAACAAGGUAG
Molecule: ribosomal RNA, 1482 nt
Filed under: uncultured Bordetella sp.
Lineage: Bacteria; Pseudomonadati; Pseudomonadota; Betaproteobacteria; Burkholderiales; Alcaligenaceae
Description: partial 16S-23S ribosomal RNA intergenic spacer
Rfam family: Bacterial small subunit ribosomal RNA
Source: RNAcentral